UGGGGAAUUUUGGACAAUGGGCGCAAGCCUGAUCCAGCAAUGCCGCGUGAGUGAAGAAGGCCUUCGGGUUGUAAAGCUCUUUUGUCAGGGAAGAAACGGCUGCGGCUAAUAUCCGCGGCUAAUGACGGUACCUGAAGAAUAAGCACCGGCUAACUACGUGCCAGCAGCCGCGGUAAUACGUAGGGUGCAAGCGUUAAUCGGAAUUACUGGGCGUAAAGCGUGCGCAGGCGGUUUUGUAAGUCUGUCGUGAAAUCCCCGGGCUCAACCUGGGAAUUGCGAUGGAGACUGCAAGGCUGGAGUCUGGCAGAGGGGGGUAGAAUUCCACGUGUAGCAGUGAAAUGCGUAGAGAUGUGGAGGAACACCGAUGGCGAAGGCAGCCCCCUGGGUCAAGACUGACGCUCAUGCACGAAAGCGUGGGGAGCAAACA
This 427-nucleotide ribosomal RNA is filed under the name uncultured Massilia sp. Its description in RNAcentral is "bacterial SSU rRNA". It matches the Rfam family "Bacterial small subunit ribosomal RNA", at positions 355 to 774 of the family's 1533-position model. Lineage: Bacteria; Pseudomonadati; Pseudomonadota; Betaproteobacteria; Burkholderiales; Oxalobacteraceae. The record is from RNAcentral.